RNAcentral lists this transfer RNA (77 nucleotides) under Selenomonas sputigena. RNAcentral's name for it is "tRNA-Pro(ggg)". It matches the Rfam family "tRNA". From Rfam's summary of the family: Transfer RNA (tRNA) molecules are approximately 80 nucleotides in length. Their secondary structure includes four short double-helical elements and three loops (D, anti-codon, and T loops). RNAcentral also lists the same sequence under 4 other names. Lineage: Bacteria; Bacillati; Bacillota; Negativicutes; Selenomonadales; Selenomonadaceae. The record is from RNAcentral.
CGGGGCGUGGCUCAGCUUGGUAGAGCGCUUCCUUGGGGUGGAAGAGGUCGUGGGUUCAAAUCCCGUCGCUCCGACCA